RNAcentral lists this ribosomal RNA (936 nucleotides) under Escherichia coli. RNAcentral's name for it is "partial 23S ribosomal RNA". It matches the Rfam family "Bacterial large subunit ribosomal RNA", at positions 1 to 969 of the family's 2925-position model. Lineage: Bacteria; Pseudomonadati; Pseudomonadota; Gammaproteobacteria; Enterobacterales; Enterobacteriaceae. The record is from RNAcentral.
GGGUUGUGAGGUUAAGCGACUAAGCGUACACGGUGGAUGCCCUGGCAGUCAGAGGCGAUGAAGGACGUGCUAAUCUGCGAUAAGCGUCGGUAAGGUGAUAUGAACCGUUAUAACCGGCGAUUUCCGAAUGGGGAAACCCAGUGUGUUUCGACACACUAUCAUUAACUGAAUCCAUAGGUUAAUGAGGCGAACCGGGGGAACUGAAACAUCUAAGUACCCCGAGGAAAAGAAAUCAACCGAGAUUCCCCCAGUAGCGGCGAGCGAACGGGGAGCAGCCCAGAGCCUGAAUCAGUAUGUGUGUUAGUGGAAGCGUCUGGAAAGGCGCGCGAUACAGGGUGACAGCCCCGUACACAAAAAUGCACAUGCUGUGAGCUCGAUGAGUAGGGCGGGACACGUGGUAUCCUGUCUGAAUAUGGGGGGACCAUCCUCCAAGGCUAAAUACUCCUGACUGACCGAUAGUGAACCAGUACCGUGAGGGAAAGGCGAAAAGAACCCCGGCGAGGGGAGUGAAAAAGAACCUGAAACCGUGUACGUACAAGCAGUGGGAGCACGCUUAGGCGUGUGACUGCGUACCUUUUGUAUAAUGGGUCAGCGACUUAUAUUCUGUAGCAAGGUUAACCGAAUAGGGGAGCCGAAGGGAAACCGAGUCUUAACUGGGCGUUAAGUUGCAGGGUAUAGACCCGAAACCCGGUGAUCUAGCCAUGGGCAGGUUGAAGGUUGGGUAACACUAACUGGAGGACCGAACCGACUAAUGUUGAAAAAUUAGCGGAUGACUUGUGGCUGGGGGUGAAAGGCCAAUCAAACCGGGAGAUAGCUGGUUCUCCCCGAAAGCUAUUUAGGUAGCGCCUCGUGAAUUCAUCUCCGGGGGUAGAGCACUGUUUCGGCAAGGGGGUCAUCCCGACUUACCAACCCGAUGCAAACUGCGAAUACCGGAGA